ACCCAAACUUUUUUCAAUCAAAAUUAGCCAAACAUUAAUUUUGAAGACCAAACUACCCCUCUCAUUCUCACCCUCCUCUCUCCCCCAAAUCCUCCCCAUCUCACCGAAAACUUCUCAUCGGAAUCGCUUAUCUAUAGUCGGCGGCAUAGAGCGGCACCGGAGUCCAUCAUUGGCGGCUGAAAUCACCUCUCACGUUCAAAAUCAUCCAAGAUCUCCAAAAUCAAUUGUAAAAAUUCAAAACCCUAGGUGAGUUCUUACUUCUUUUUUUAUUUGGGUUGUGAUUUUGUGGUAUUGUUGUGCUUUGUUGUUGUUGUUGUUGUUGCUGUGGUGUUGGGUUGGUGCGGUUGUGAUGGUUUGAUGAUUUGCAGUUGUUGAUGGCGGUGGUGCGUUGGUGUGUUGCAUGCGGGAUGUGAGAGUUGGAUGUUGUUGAUGGGUGUUGGAUGGCUGCUGCUGCCCAUUGGACGGAAUUUGCACAAAAAUACAGAGCAUUGCUUUUGCACGACAAUAGCACAGGCUCUGUAUUUCAUCUGUCGCACAAGUUUUUGUGUGAUCGGAUGAGCGUCG
This 564-nucleotide long non-coding RNA is filed under the name Citrus maxima (pomelo). RNAcentral describes it as "long non-coding RNA (CMAX_LNC001631)". The record is from RNAcentral. Lineage: Eukaryota; Viridiplantae; Streptophyta; Magnoliopsida; Sapindales; Rutaceae.